This 87-nucleotide transfer RNA is filed under the name bacterium. RNAcentral's name for it is "tRNA-Leu". It matches the Rfam family "tRNA". From Rfam's summary of the family: Transfer RNA (tRNA) molecules are approximately 80 nucleotides in length. Their secondary structure includes four short double-helical elements and three loops (D, anti-codon, and T loops). Further hydrogen bonds mediate the characteristic L-shaped molecular structure. tRNAs have two regions of fundamental functional importance: the anti-codon, which is responsible for specific mRNA codon recognition, and the 3' end, to which the tRNAs corresponding amino acid is attached (by aminoacyl-tRNA synthetases). tRNAs cope with the degeneracy of the genetic code in two manners: having more than one tRNA (with a specific anti-codon) for a particular amino acid; and 'wobble' base-pairing, i.e. permitting non-standard base-pairing at the 3rd anti-codon position. The record is from RNAcentral. RNAcentral also lists the same sequence under 3 other names.
GCUGAAGUGGUGGAACUGGUAGACACGCUGUCUUGAGGGGGCAGUGGGCUUUCGCUCGUGGGGGUUCGAGUCCCCCCUUCAGCACCA